ACGCGAGGAACCUUACCAGGUCUUGACAUCCUCUGACACUCCUAGAGAUAGGACGUUCCCCUUCGGGGGACAGAGUGACAGGUGGUGCAUGGUUGUCGUCAGCUCGUGUCGUGAGAUGUUGGGUUAAGUCCCGCAACGAGCGCAACCCUUGAUCUUAGUUGCCAGCAUUUAGUUGGGCACUCUAAGGUGACUGCCGGUGACAAACCGGAGGAAGGUGGGGAUGACGUCAAAUCAUCAUGCCCCUUAUGACCUGGGCUACACACGUGCUACAAUGGAUGGUACAAAGGGCAGCAAAACCGCGAGGUCGAGCAAAUCCCAUAAAACCAUUCUCAGUUCGGAUUGUAGGCUGCAACUCGCCUACAUGAAGCUGGAAUCGCUAGUAAUCGCGGAUCAGCAUGCCGCGGUGAAUACGUUCCCGGGCCUUGCACACACCGCCCGU
RNAcentral lists this ribosomal RNA (439 nucleotides) under uncultured bacterium. RNAcentral's name for it is "bacterial SSU rRNA". It matches the Rfam family "Bacterial small subunit ribosomal RNA", at positions 959 to 1397 of the family's 1533-position model. The record is from RNAcentral.